ACGACCAUCGCGGCCGCGACACCAACCAGACCACCAUGCGCCAUACCCAACGGAAACUAGGCCACUGCGGCUACCUCUCGAGCUCGCUAUCGCCAGCGUUCAUGGAAGGGCUGGGAAGGACCCCCAUGCCAUGUGGAUCGUGCGCGGGCAGCUAAUCAGGCUCGGGGAGUCGGAGGUCGGCGACAAUUCCUCACCAAGAAAUCAGCGCCGCCGUAGAUCCGCCGAGAGCUGAGGCCAGCAACCUCUGUGUGCAAGAUUCUCGGUAAUCUUCCCCUCCGUAUGGUCGCAGAUGUCUCCUCUUCGCGUAGCUGCGGUCCAAUUUAUGUGGGCGUGCGUGUGUGCCCAACGUGCAUCGCUCCGGCGAGGCCCCGUCUCUACGACCUCUGCACCGCCGUCAUAGGUGUCGGGGUUGGGGAAGAGUGGGGCGACCGUGGAUCUUCGGUUGUGCGAUUCAGAUUAGAUGUGGGCAGAUCCGUUAAACGAUGGGGUGGAGUAGAUCAGGCCAGCACUAAAUCCCGGGCAUAGAUCUUGAAUCCUACAGUGGCUGUCUUAUAUCGAGUUGAGCUUAGAUCUGGACUGCGGAUGUCCGAUCGAACAACGCUGAUCAGACGAAGUCUACCGGUUCGCCUAGAUCUAAUCAGUGCCCUAAAUUCUAGAUCGGGCGGCUGAGAUAAACCAGUACCCCUUUAGCUCGGCCAGUUUGCUAAAGAGCCCCUGUGGAAAUUGUGAAUUAACCCGCAGUCCAUCCCUAUAUUAGGAUCGUUACAUAAUUGUCCAAACAUUUGUAAAAGUAACCUUGCGCUCUUAUAAAAUUGUGGCCGCAACCCACUGGUCUCGGUUAGUUGGUAAUAAUUAAUUUAAAAAAGAUAUUUGAUAUAGAAAUAAAUCUAGAAAUCUAUAAAAUUCAUGAUUCCUUUAUUUUAACUCCAAUUUAAUUCAUUCCAGUUGCAUUAAAUUUAUAAUAACAUUGUUUAUCAUCUGGUAACCUUAGUUUGUUAUGAAACCUAGAUAAAAAAUGCACUUAGUUUCUUUCAUAUCCAACACUUAAAUCUUCAGAAAACCAUAACUCUUUAACCGUAACUCUAAAUUUAGUGGUUCUCGAACCUAGGUUCUCGCUACAACGCAUAGAUCAUUAUUAUGCAGUUUGUUCUUAUGUUUAGUGUGAUGUUAAUUUUGCCUAUACCAUGUUUGUUUGUAUUGCUACGAAUAGCAGCAUGGUUGCAAAUCACUUGAAGACCAACUGAGUACCUGGGAGUCUCGAGUCUAAGGCAAGUUGUGCCCUUGAUCACUCUUCUUUACCUAAUAAUGUUCUGGUUAAUCACUGUGACAUGCUCAGGUUAAUUUGGUGGGACCUAAUAGGUUUCCCAAGCCUUGCAAACAUAUGAACUAUUGGGUAGAUUUGGUUUUGCUCUACCUGGUUUUGGGAAAUUAAUGUUAUACUGUGAUCAUGUUCCAAUUAUAUUGUUGUUUAAUUAUUGUUCAUGAAAAGAUUAUUGUGUCAAUUGGAACAUGGAGCUUAACUUGAGAUCACAGUGCUACCACAAGGGUGGAACUAGUGGAACUUUGGAAAGGCCUCGUUGUGCUACCCUGCCUCUCUUCCUCGCUAGAGGUGUAUGGGGUUUGAUCAACCCCGUGGAAAAUGGGUAACACGACUUGUGGGUAAAGAUGUGUAACCUCUAUAGAGUGUAAAACUGGUAUAUCUGUCGUGCUCACGGUCAAGAGCGACUCAUGACUCUCUCAUGAUUAAUUUAUGGAACUAAACUUAAUCUAUCAUAUGCAUUGCAUCACGAGUGUUAUUAUCAAUUGUGAUAUCUUAUUUAGUUGGGUUGGUAUCUACUUAUACCUAGUAACUGUUAAUAAAAUUUUGACCAACUUUAAAAGCAAUGCUCAGCUUUAACCAUCUCCUUUUGUAAGCCUUACACUUCACAUGAGCUCCCACCCUUGGUGAGUUCAUGAACAUUAUUCCCCGCAACUUGUUGAGCAAUGAACGUAUGUGAGCUCACCCUUGCUAUACUCACAUCCCCCCAGGUCAAGAACAGGUACCACUGGACGAGGCACAUGAAGGAUGCUGUGAUGAGUUCGUGAGUGGUCUAGGCUGUCGUCUCGCAGUCAACUUUGGGUUGCUGGAUCGUUGUCUUCGUAUGAUGUAAUUAUUUAACUAUUUUGUACAGAACUCCAUUAUAUAUUAAAGAUGUGACAUUCAUUUCUGUACCGUGAAUCAUCAUAUGUGUGAG
This 2234-nucleotide long non-coding RNA is filed under the name Zea mays. RNAcentral's name for it is "long non-coding RNA (ZMAY_LNC003315)". The record is from RNAcentral. Lineage: Eukaryota; Viridiplantae; Streptophyta; Magnoliopsida; Poales; Poaceae.